CCAGUUUGAACCUAAAGGAGUUUUGUGUCGAGAAGCAGUGAAUGAUUGUGAUAUUGCAGAGAACUGCACAGGAAAUUCCAGCCAGUGUUCUCCUAAUAUCCAUAAAAUGGAUGGAUAUUCAUGUGAUAACAGACAGGGUAUUUGCUUUGGAGGAAGAUGUAAAACCAGGGACCGGCAGUGUAAAUAUAUAUGGGGUGAAAGUAAGUGA
Molecule: non-coding RNA, 208 nt
Organism: Cyanistes caeruleus (blue tit)
Lineage: Eukaryota; Metazoa; Chordata; Aves; Passeriformes; Paridae
Source: RefSeq, a predicted model, not a curated record